Molecule: non-coding RNA, 49 nt
Filed under: Schistosoma mattheei
Lineage: Eukaryota; Metazoa; Platyhelminthes; Trematoda; Strigeidida; Schistosomatidae
Source: RNAcentral
AUCCAACUGACGAGUCCCAAAACAGGACGAAACUCGCGUUAAACGGGAU